CAAAAAUAAAUAAAUAAAAUAACUUUAAUUUAAAAAUAUUAAUUGGAUACUGGAGUAUCUCAUUUGCAUUCAAGAAGAAUUGCUUGAGAGAGUUGCCCCUGGCUCCAAUGAUGCUCUAUUUCUCAGUAUUUUUUUUUAUUUGUGAUAUGGGUUAAAUUGGGGCAGAUGACCACCCAAUGGUCAGGUGAUCCAUCAUCCAUGGCAAGGAUCCAGUAAGAUCUCACAAUUUAGAUUUGACUGUGGAGGGACCACCUCUGGACUCAGGUCAGAUGCCAGAGAAUCAAGGAAACUAUCCUCCAAAGUGUUUAAGACAGGUCUUUCUUUGUGGACUUGAGCAAUAAGUAUUCACAGCAUCUUUCUGGAAAAGUCUUCCAGUAGGGCAGCAGGGGCUAGAAGAAAAGGCCCAAGAGUCAGUUUCCAUGAUAAAACAUUGUCAUUUGCCAGCUUUGUAACUCUGACUUUACUGUGCCUCAGUUUCCUUAUCUGUAAAAUAUCUACCCUACUUGCCUUACAAAGGCAUUGUGAGGAUGAAAGGAGGUUAUAGGUGUGAAGUGUAACUUGUAGCAUGCUCAGACAGGCCUAAGCCUUGUUAUGAUGCAAUUCUGUAAGGACUGCUGCUUAACUGGGCUGUCCAGUCUGGGCACGUGAAUUCUGCCUUCACUUGGCAGUGGGGUCCACCUAAUUGAGAUACUUGUCUGGAAAAAGCCCGAAAGGAUGCCUUAAUUUGAGAAUUUAUGAAGAGAAAAUAUUUUUAUCAGCUCAGAAUGAUUGAACCUAAGCUAUGGAGCGAGAACCAUAUCAAGUUUACUCACCAGUAUCUUCAGUGUGACAGUAAUCUCUAACCACUACCAUGUGCAGUGGAUUUCUUCCCAUUAAGGACGUGAUGUAAAUAUCUUUGGUUUGGUCCAGUUUUUGUGUUUUUCUGCUUUCCUUCAGCUGAUUCACUGGUGCUCUCUUCUUGUAUCCAAUAUCAUUUUUGAGUGACCUUUUUUCACAGUAGGGCUUCCAAUGACAGCUACACAGAAUUUUCAGUUUCUUCAUUUCACUCUUCAAAGUUUGGCCUUGUGGUAGACUCUUUACCAACUUUUUCUAUUUUUCCAGC
Molecule: long non-coding RNA, 1102 nt
Filed under: Homo sapiens (human)
Lineage: Eukaryota; Metazoa; Chordata; Mammalia; Primates; Hominidae
Description: non-protein coding lnc-DYRK2-11:1
Source: RNAcentral